Molecule: ribosomal RNA, 492 nt
Filed under: uncultured bacterium
Lineage: Bacteria
Description: partial 16S ribosomal RNA
Rfam family: Bacterial small subunit ribosomal RNA
Source: RNAcentral
AGUGAACGCUGGCGGUAGGCCUAACACAUGCAAGUUGAACGGCAGCACAGUAAGAGCUUGCUCUUACGGGUGGCGAGUGGCGGACGGGUGAGGAAUACAUCGGAAUCUACUUUUUCGUGGGGGAUAACGUAGGGAAACUUACGCUAAUACCGCAUACGACCUACGGGUGAAAGCAGGGGAUCUUCGGACCUUGCGCGAAUGAAUGAGCCGAUGUCGGAUUAGCUAGUUGGCGGGGUAAAGGCCCACCAAGGCGACGAUCCGUAGCUGGUCUGAGAGGAUGAUCAGCCACACUGGAACUGAGACACGGUCCAGACUCCUACGGGAGGCAGCAGUGGGGAAUAUUGGGCAAUGGGCGCAAGCCUGAUCCAGCCAUACCGCGUGGGUGAAGAAGGCCUUCGGGUUGUAAAGCCCUUUUGUUGGGAAAGAAAAGCAGCAGGUUAAUACCCCGCUGUUCUGACGGUACCCAAAGAAUAAGCACCGGCUAACUUCGUG